This 943-nucleotide long non-coding RNA is filed under the name Xyrichtys novacula (pearly razorfish). Lineage: Eukaryota; Metazoa; Chordata; Actinopteri; Labriformes; Labridae. The record is from RNAcentral.
GGUUAUGGUUAGGGUUAGGGUUGGAGCUAGGGUUAGGGUUAGGUUUAGGGUUGGAGUUAGGGUUAGUGUUGGAGCUAGGGUUAGGGUUGGGCUUGGAGCUAGGACUUUUCUGAGUGCAAUGAACCAACUCCCGAGUCUCUAGGACGUUCCCUAAAAAAAUUUGAUUUUUUCCCAUAGGAAUGCAUGGGUUAGGGUUAGGGUUAGGGUUGGAGCUAGGGUUAGGGUUAGGGUUAGGGUUGGAGUUAGGGUUAGUGUUGGAGCUAGGUUUAGGGUUGGGCUUGGAGCUAGGAUUUUUCUGAGUGCACUGAACCAACUCCCGAGUCUCUAGGACAUUCCUAAAAAAAUUUGAUUUUUUCCCAUAGGAAUGCAUGGGUUAGGGUUAUGGUUGGGGUUAGGGUUGGAGCUAGGGUUAGGGUUAGGGUUAGGGUUGGAGUUAGGGUUAGUGUUGGAGCUAGGGUUAGGGUUGGGCUUGGAGCUAGGAUUUUUCUGAGUGCACUGAACCAACUCCCGAGUCUCUAGGACAUUCCUAAAAAAAUUGAUUUUUUCCCAUAGGAAUGCAUGGGUUAGGGUUAUGGUUAGGGUUAGGGUUGGAGCGAGGGUUAGGGUUAGGGUUAGGGUUGGAGUUAGGGUUAGUGUUGGAGCUAGGGUUAGGGUUGGGCUUGGAGCUAGGAUUUUCUGAGUGCAAUGAACCAACUCCCGAGUCUCUAGGACGUUCCUAAAAAAAUUUGAUUUUUUCCCAUAGGAAUGCAUGGGUUAGGGUUAGGGUUAGGGUUGGAGCUAGGGUUAGGGUUAGGGUUAGGGUUAGGGUUGGAGUUAGGGUUAGUGUUGGAGCUAGGGUUAGGGUUGGGCUUGGAGCUAGGAUUUUUCUGAGUGCACUGAACCAACUCCCGAGUCUCUAGGACAUUCCUAAAAAAAUUUGAUUUUUUCCCAUAGGAAUGCAUGG